UGGCUGAGUGGUAAAGCGUUGGCUUCUGAAGUGAGAAAACCCGGGUUUGAAUCCUGG
This 57-nucleotide transfer RNA is filed under the name Biomphalaria glabrata. It matches the Rfam family "tRNA", at positions 8 to 63 of the family's 71-position model. From Rfam's summary of the family: Transfer RNA (tRNA) molecules are approximately 80 nucleotides in length. Their secondary structure includes four short double-helical elements and three loops (D, anti-codon, and T loops). Lineage: Eukaryota; Metazoa; Mollusca; Gastropoda; Planorbidae. The record is from Rfam by way of RNAcentral.